This 215-nucleotide ribosomal RNA is filed under the name uncultured bacterium. Its description in RNAcentral is "partial 16S ribosomal RNA". It matches the Rfam family "Bacterial small subunit ribosomal RNA", at positions 29 to 232 of the family's 1533-position model. The record is from RNAcentral.
AAUGAACGCUGGCGGCGCGCCUAAUACAUGCAAGUCGAGCGAGAAGACGUAGCAAUACGUUUGUAAAGCGGCGAACGGGUGAGGAAUACAUGGGUAACCGUACCCUCGAGUGGGGAAUAACUAGCCGAAAGGUUAGCUAAUACCGCGUACGCUUCUUGGACUUCGGUUCAGGGAGGAAAGCGAUGCCGAGGGUAUCGCGGCUCUUGGAUGGGCUC